GACGAACGCUGGCGGCGUGCUUAACACAUGCAAGUCGAACGGUAAGGCCCUUCGGGGUACACGAGUGGCGAACGGGUGAGUAACACGUGGGUGAUCUGCCCUGCACUUCGGGAUAAGCCUGGGAAACUGGGUCUAAUACCGGAUAGGACCACUGCCUGCAUGGGGGGUGGGGGAAAGCUUUUGCGGCGUGGGAUGGGCCCGCGGCCUAUCAGCUUGUUGGUGGGGUGAUGGCCUACCAAGGCGACGACGGGUAGCCGGCCUGAGAGGGUGACCGGCCACACUGGGACUGAGAUACGGCCCAGACUCCUACGGGAGGCAGCAGUGGGGAAUAUUGCACAAUGGGCGCAAGCCUGAUGCAGCGACGCCGCGUGAGGGAUGACGGCCUUCGGGUUGUAAACCUCUUUCAGCACCGACGAAGCGCAAGUGACGGUAGGUGCAGAAGAAGGACCGGCCAACUACGUGCCAGCAGCCGCAGUAA
RNAcentral lists this ribosomal RNA (478 nucleotides) under uncultured bacterium. Its description in RNAcentral is "partial 16S ribosomal RNA". It matches the Rfam family "Bacterial small subunit ribosomal RNA", at positions 28 to 523 of the family's 1533-position model. The record is from RNAcentral.